AAAACAAUUAAAAAUCAAUUUUUUUUCUGUUUCUUCUUCUUUCUCCCCGACUGUUCUUCUUCUCUUUCUCGAUGGAUGCUUCUUCUUUAUUCUUCUUCUCUUUAAUGGCAUGAUACUUUUCUCAAGCGAAGGUGGGGAUCUGGGCAACGGCUAAGGUAGGGAUCGAGUUGAGGACUAGAAGAUGCAGGUGAAAUAAAUGAUGUAGGUGAACAAAUGCGGGGCUGGUAACAGUGUCGGAGAAGACGAGAGGCUCCGAUGGUCCACCGAUUGGGGUCAACAGGAACGGAGCUAAAGGUCGCGAUUAGAGAAGAUUCAAAUUGAUUGGGUGGCGUCGAGGUGGUUAUAAGGUGGAUCGACUAGCAAAUGUGAAAGAUGUUGUUCAUAUUUUUUGUUCAUUGUUCAUAUUUUUGUGGUACUUUUUUUAUAAUUAAAAAAUAUGAUGGAAGUAUGAUGCUGAAGAAGAUAAGGAGAGGCAAGGGGUUUGGUUCUACUUAUCAGAUCUGGUUUAUUUUUUUCGUUCAGAUUUGUUCUACUCUUCGAAGCUUGGGUUGGCAUUGCAGGAUGUCAAAGCUUGGGUGAUGGGCUUGCUUAGUUUGUGUUAGGGACAUAUCUGACUAUGGAAGUUAUUGGUUGUUUGUUGAUUUUGAUUGGGAUUUUGAUUGUGGUUUCUGGGAUUUUGAUUUUGAAAUCAUAUAGUUAAUCUUAUUUUUUGUUUA
Humulus lupulus (European hop) is the source of this 716-nucleotide long non-coding RNA. RefSeq lists it as uncharacterized. NCBI's taxonomy places the organism in Eukaryota, Viridiplantae, Streptophyta, Magnoliopsida, Rosales, Cannabaceae. The transcript has 2 exons. The record is from RefSeq and is a predicted model, not a curated record.